UACGUAGGGUGCGAGCGUUAAUCGGAAUUACUGGGCGUAAAGCGUGCGUAGGUGGUGAGUUAAGUCCGAUGUGAAAUCCCCGGGCUCAACCUGGGAAUGGCAUUGGAUACUGGCUCGCUAGAGUGCGGUAGAGGGUGGUGGAAUUCCCGGUGUAGCAGUGAAAUGCGUAGAUAUGUGGAGGAACACCGAUGGCGAAGGCAGCCCCCUGGGUUAACACUGACGCUCAUGCACGAAAGCGUGGGGAGCAAACAGG
This 253-nucleotide ribosomal RNA is filed under the name uncultured bacterium. Its description in RNAcentral is "partial 16S ribosomal RNA". It matches the Rfam family "Bacterial small subunit ribosomal RNA", at positions 524 to 776 of the family's 1533-position model. The record is from RNAcentral.